GGGGUUGUGGCUCAGUGGUAGAGUGCUCGCCUGACAUGCAUGAGACACUGGAUUCAAUUCUCAGCACCUCA
This 71-nucleotide transfer RNA is filed under the name Urocitellus parryii (Arctic ground squirrel). RNAcentral describes it as "Spermophilus parryii (Arctic ground squirrel) tRNA". It matches the Rfam family "tRNA". Rfam says of the family: Transfer RNA (tRNA) molecules are approximately 80 nucleotides in length. Their secondary structure includes four short double-helical elements and three loops (D, anti-codon, and T loops). Further hydrogen bonds mediate the characteristic L-shaped molecular structure. tRNAs have two regions of fundamental functional importance: the anti-codon, which is responsible for specific mRNA codon recognition, and the 3' end, to which the tRNAs corresponding amino acid is attached (by aminoacyl-tRNA synthetases). tRNAs cope with the degeneracy of the genetic code in two manners: having more than one tRNA (with a specific anti-codon) for a particular amino acid; and 'wobble' base-pairing, i.e. permitting non-standard base-pairing at the 3rd anti-codon position. The record is from Rfam by way of RNAcentral. Lineage: Eukaryota; Metazoa; Chordata; Mammalia; Rodentia; Sciuridae. RNAcentral also lists the same sequence under 1 other name.